GGGCUCGAGUUUCAGCCACGUAGGACCGGGUAGAACACAGAAAUUCUAGUUUCCUCCCGGGAUGAAAGGCUUCCUAGCACAAACACCACCCCUGGAGUUCCCGGUACAUCAAUACCAGCCUGGGGAUCACGUUCUCAUCAAGAGUUGGAAGAGGGAAAGCUUGAGCCAGCUUAGGAGGACCUUAUCUGGUACUCUUGAUGAACGAAACAGCAAUCUGAAUGGCUGAAAAAGGAUGGACCCAGCAUUCCAGGGAGAAAACUUGGCAUUCUUUGGGAAUCUAACAGGAUGCAGUGAACCCAAGCCUUUUCAAGAGCUCACCAAUCAGACUGCCCUUGUCUAUCCAUGAGCAGAUGUUUGAUAGUAUUGCGGAGGACCUCUAGUGGGUAUGCUGCCAAGCAACUGGAGUGGCACUUGGGCUCUAAUCCAGUUGUCUAUCCCUUUCACCCUGGCAUUUCAUCAGCCAAACAAAAACCAACUAACUCAGAAAAAAAGGAAAUCCCCUCAAGGGUCCUUUGACCCCGAUAUCUACAUAGAUGCUAUCGGGGUCCCCUGAGGGGUACCAAACGAAUUCAAAGCUCGAAAUCAAAUAGCUGCUGGAUUCAAGUCUGUCCUUUUCUUGUGGUCUACUAUAAAUAAAAAUGUAGACUGGAUAAAUUACAUAUACUAUAAUACAACAA
RNAcentral lists this non-coding RNA (677 nucleotides) under Pan troglodytes (chimpanzee). Lineage: Eukaryota; Metazoa; Chordata; Mammalia; Primates; Hominidae. The record is from RNAcentral.